GAGGGAGUAGUAAAAUUAUUACAUAAGAUUGUCAAUCUUAAGUUGUUGGCUGUGCCCUGCCUCUCUCU
RNAcentral lists this transfer RNA (68 nucleotides) under Xylophaga washingtona. RNAcentral describes it as "tRNA-Asp". It matches the Rfam family "tRNA". From Rfam's summary of the family: Transfer RNA (tRNA) molecules are approximately 80 nucleotides in length. Their secondary structure includes four short double-helical elements and three loops (D, anti-codon, and T loops). The record is from RNAcentral. Lineage: Eukaryota; Metazoa; Mollusca; Bivalvia; Myida; Xylophagaidae.